GUGCUCACUUCGGCAACACAUACCCUAAAAUUGGAAUGAUACCGAGAUUAGCAUGGCCCCUGCGGAAGGAUGACACACAAAUUCAUGAAUUGUUCCAUAUUUUU
Small nuclear RNA from Ochotona princeps (American pika), 104 nucleotides. The record is from Ensembl. NCBI's taxonomy places the organism in Eukaryota, Metazoa, Chordata, Mammalia, Lagomorpha, Ochotonidae.